This 72-nucleotide transfer RNA is filed under the name Camelus ferus (Wild Bactrian camel). It matches the Rfam family "tRNA". Rfam says of the family: Transfer RNA (tRNA) molecules are approximately 80 nucleotides in length. Their secondary structure includes four short double-helical elements and three loops (D, anti-codon, and T loops). The record is from Rfam by way of RNAcentral. Lineage: Eukaryota; Metazoa; Chordata; Mammalia; Artiodactyla; Camelidae.
GAGGGUAGAGCUCAGUGGUAGAGCAUAUGCUUAGCAUGCAUGAGAGCCUGGGUUCAAUCCCCAGUACUUAUU